CUACGGGGUGCUGCAGUGGGGGAUAUUGCACAAUGGAGGAAACUCUGAUGCAGCAACGCCGCGUGAGGGAAGAAGGUUUUCGGAUUGUAAACCUCUGUUUUUAGUGAAGAAACAAAUGACGGUAGCUAAAGAGGAAGCCACGGCUAACUACGUGCCAGCAGCCGCGGUAAUACGUAGGUGGCAAGCGUUGUCCGGAUUUACUGGGUGUAAAGGGUGCGCAGGCGGGACUGCAAGUUGGAUGUGAAAUUCUGAGGCUUAACCUCAGACCUGCAUCCAAAACUGUGGUUCUUGAGUGGAGCAGAGGUAAGCGGAAUUCCGAGUGUAGCGGUGAAAUGCGUAGAUAUUCGGAGGAACACCAGUGGCGAAGGCGGCUUACUGGGCUCUAACUGACGCUGAGGCACGAAAGCAUGGGUAGCAAACAGGAUUAGAUACCCUAGUAGUC
RNAcentral lists this ribosomal RNA (442 nucleotides) under uncultured bacterium. Its description in RNAcentral is "partial 16S ribosomal RNA". It matches the Rfam family "Bacterial small subunit ribosomal RNA", at positions 339 to 795 of the family's 1533-position model. The record is from RNAcentral.